GACGAACGCUGGCGGCGUGCUUAACACAUGCAAGUCGAACGGAAAGGCCCUGCUUUUGUGGGGUGCUCGAGUGGCGAACGGGUGAGUAACACGUGAGUAACCUGCCCUUGACUUUGGGAUAACUUCAGGAAACUGGGGCUAAUACCGGAUAGGAGCUCCUGCUGCAUGGUGGGGGUUGGAAAGUUUCGGCGGUUGGGGAUGGACUCGCGGCUUAUCAGCUUGUUGGUGGGGUAGUGGCUUACCAAGGCUUUGACGGGUAGCCGGCCUGAGAGGGUGACCGGCCACAUUGGGACUGAGAUACGGCCCAGCCUCCGACGGGAGGCAGCAGUGGGGAAUAGUGCGCAAUGGGCGGAAGCCUGAGGCAGCAACGCCGCGUGCGGGAUGACGGCCUUCGGGUUGUAAACCGCUUUCGCCGGUGACGAAGCGUGAGUGACGGUAAUGGGUAAAGAAGCACCGGCUAACUACGUG
Molecule: ribosomal RNA, 468 nt
Filed under: uncultured bacterium
Lineage: Bacteria
Description: partial 16S ribosomal RNA
Rfam family: Bacterial small subunit ribosomal RNA
Source: RNAcentral